GAAAAAAUGUACAUGCAUAUAAUUUUAUAUUUGGGGCAAAAUUAUUCAACACAUACAAUCCACUCUAAAAGUAAGGGGCUACUGUCACCACAGUGAUUCCUACACACUUACAAUAUUCAAUUAUAGCAAAACGUUUACAUGUGAAAGGUUAACAAAAUAGGUACUUGUCACUUCCUGUUUUUCUGUAUGCUUAACAAAACACUGUUGAAAUCUUGAGAACUGUUUGCUAAUCUUGUUCCCAGAAUGUGCUGUCCCCAACUGCCAAACUGCAGAAUGUACUCCCUCACCCGGUUGCAUGUAAACCACCCACUCGCCCUGACCCAUCAAUAAACUUCCCUCCCUGCCCUCUCCAAGGAAAGUAUAUAAGCUCUGCUUAAGCUGUUCUCAGGGCUCUCUGCUCUAUUCAAGUGAGCUCUGAGCCCCAGCAUGCUGGACCCCCAAUAAACCCUUUGCUGUUGCAUGAGACAGUCUCUUGGUGGUCUCUUCCUCCGAUGCUCGCCCGACCUUUACAUAUGGAGGUUCCACCGAGAUCCGGCAGCGGCGGACGAGAGACCACAAUGGGCUCCUCUCGGGGUAAGUAAGGCGCCUCUUUCUGGUUUCAGGUUUCAGGUUAGGGCUUGGCAAAAUGGCUGUCGGUGAAGAGCGUGAGCUCUCUCCGACGGUGGCUGACAGACAUGUCACAGAGCCACAGGCCACAUCCCUGGGGGAUGCCCCAGAGGAAAUCGAGGAACAAUAGUCUCCUCGACUCAGUGAUAUUUUGUUUCCGAUUUGGUAUUGCCAGCCCAUCGGGUUUUGCCGGCUACUCAGUCCUGGUCUCAGUGUUGGACGUCCAUUGCCUGUCUUUAUUGUCUUGUCUUGUCUGUGUUGUGUGUCGUUGCUUUCACUGUUUGUGUAUCUUUCAUUAUGGGACAGAGCACUUCAAUGCCUCUGUCCCUGACCCUUGAUCACUGGACCAAAAUCUGCUUAAGGGCUCAGAAUCUUUCUUUUUCAGUAAAACGCCGGACCUGGCAGACUCUCUGUGCCUCAGAAUGGCCCACCUUUGGAGUCGGAUGGCCCCCAGAAGGAUCUUUCUACUCCCCACUAAUUCGAAAAGUCAGAGAUAUUGCCUUUCAGCCAGGGCCACAUAGCCAUCCGGAUCAACAUAAGCCGUAUAUCUUAACUUGGCAGGACCUCUGCGAAUCUCCUCCUCCAUGGGUGAAGCCUUUCCUUGUCCCUGCCCCCGCUCCUACUCCUUCCCCCAUGAUUCUAUCUCUCAAACCCUCUGCUCCUCCUCCUCCUUCACCCUCUGUUCUCCCUGAGUCUCAAGAUUUGACUCUACUGGAUUCUCCACCCCCUCCUAAUCCCCUGCCCUCGUCCCCCAACCCCCAACACCCUCUAAGUGAUUCCCCUGCUGCUGACUCAGCCUCUCCGCCAUUGGAGGAAGCAAAGCCAGCCCAGCGCCCUCCAGAUGACUCCCCCGCGGCACACACAGCCCCUCCUCCCCUGGAGGACGCUGGCCCAGCUAAAGGAACUCACCAGCGGCGAAUGAUUAAAAACCCUGAAGCCCCCGUGAUACUCCCCCUCCGUCCCUACAGGCCAAUGAUUGACGACAGCCAUGGGAGAGAAAUGCAAGCCUACCAGUAUUGGCCUUUCUCCUCUUCAGACCUAUAUAACUGGAAAAAUAACAAUCCCCCUUUUUCCGAGGACCCCACCUGGCUCACAGGUCUGGUUGAGUCAUUGAUGUUUUCACACCAGCCUACUUGGGAUGACUGCCAACAACUCCUAGGCACUCUCUUCAUGACAGAGGAACGAGAGAGAAUCCUCCUGGAAGCUAGAAAAAAUAUCCUCGGACCAGAUGGGCGACCGACACAACUUCCCAACAUAAUCGAAGCCGGCUUCCCCUUGAACAACCCAACUGGGACCCCAACACCUUUGAAGGUAGGGAGCAUCUGUCCACUUAUCACUGGGCUCUAAUAGUGGGUUUCCGAGUGGCCGCUAGGCGACCAACUAAUUUGGCCAAGGUAAGAGAGAUUAUUCAAGGGCCUGAUGAAUCUCCCUCUAUGUUUCUAGAGAGAAUUAUGGAGGCAUAUAGGAGAUAUACUCCUUUCAAUCCUUAGGCAGAGGAUCAAAAGGCAUCUGUCACGAUGGCCUUUAUUGGGCAAGCUGCCCUGGAUAUUAAAAGAAAGUUACAAUGCUUAGAUGGAUUACAAGAUAUUUAUUUGAGAGAUUCAGUCAGAGAAGCCGAGAAGGUAUACUAUAAGAGAGAAACUGAGGAAGAGAAGGAACAAAGGAGGGAGAAAGAAAGGGAGCAAAGGGAGGAUGAGAGAAGCAAAAGACAGACUAAGGCAUUGACUAAGGUCCUGGUCACAACAACAAAUAGGCCAGAAAUUAAGAAACAGGGAGACAGGAAGAGAUACCUGGGCUCACGCCAGAGGCCACCCCUGGCCUCAGAUCAAUGUGCCUACUGUAAAGAAAAAGGACACUGGGCCAAAGAGUGCCCUAGAAAGAGACAGCCAUGCCAGUCAGCCAUUCUGACUCUGGAGGAUGACUAGGAAAGUCGGGGCUCAGAUCCCCUUCCUGAGCUCAGGGUAACUUUUGAAGUGGAGGGGACCCCAGUAAACUUUGAAGUGGAUACAGGGGCAGUAUACUCAGCCCUUAAGGCCCCAUUGGGCCCUCUAUCAAAUAAAAGGUCUCUAGUUCAAGGGGCUAACGGCAGUAAAUAUUGGGCUUGGACAACUAAGAGGACCAUGGACCUGGGGAAGGGAAAAGUCCAUCACUCCUUCCUAGUGAUCCCAGAAUGCCCGGCCCCAUUGAUGUACAUGCAUAUAAUUUUAUAUUUGGGGCAAAAUUAUUCAACACAUACAAUCCACUCUAAAAAUAAGGGGCUACUGUCACCACAGUGAUUCCUACACACUUACAAUAUUCAAUUAUAGCAAAACGUUUACAUGAACAUGCCAGACUGAUUCAAAUGUUUCACAAACACUGAUAAAAUGUCCAUUAAAUGUAGGGCACAGAUACACAUUCACACUUCCUUGCCUUCAAGGAGCUUACAAAAACAUUUUUGUCUCUCUUACAUAAAAAAAAAAAACUAAGACAGUAAGUUUUGUUUUUGUUUUUGAUUUUGGGGUUUUUUUUAAGUUCUCAAGAGAGAUUUUUUUAUCAAAGUUAAUGAAUUUUAUUUUUGCUACAGAUCUGUGUUUGAAAAGAGAACCAUAGAACUGAUCUAAUUUGAAUGAAAAUGGUUUGGGUCUACUGGAAAGUACUAAAACCUGUGUUUCUAAAACACUAAUAUUAAAGGUGUAUUAUUUGCCCAUCUCUACCUGUUAUGGGCCAGGCUAUAUGGGCAAUGACCAAAAAGACUCCAUAACAUGUAAGAAAUGCUUCUCUCAUGGGAAAGCCCUGCCUCUGUACCCAUUAAUAGUUACCUAGCAUAACAUACCUGGCAACACAAAAUAGCAAUUCUUAUACAAAGUAAAAUUGUUCUCUUCGGUUUCAAUUUUUCUUCCACAAUUAUUGUCUAGAUGUUAGUAACCAUUCUUAAUUUGUACUGAACAAGGGUCAUUUUGACCCACUUCCUUUCUGCUUGCUUGCUGUUAUUCCAACCUGGAAAGUCCCGUGGGAAAUACCAAUGUACCCAUUGCAAUGUCUUACUAACUGCCCAAUUCAGCUUCUCUACUUGCUUGCUUGAGGCUAUGUCAACCCAGAUGUGGUUUUAAAUAUCCUAAAUGCUCAGGCUCCGGGCUGUUCCUUUCAGAGUCAGUUAUGGGUCCGGUAGAGAGCAGUCGCGGGCUAAAUAAAGACUCUUCAAUUUGGACAAAACUGGGACUUUGUGUGUUUUCUGAGCGACCUGCCCAUAACACUGGUUCUACUAAGGUAAAAGAAAAAACAAGAAAGUGAUAGAGGUAGCUUGUUAUAUUGAUACAGAUUCAGGAUAGGCAGAAUAAUAAUAAUAACGACCAGUUAUUGAGUGAUGACCAGGUCUCAGGCAUCACAAACAUUAUCUCGUUAAUACUGCAAAGAGGGUGUUUUUAAUCCUUGUUUUACAUAUCGGAAAAUUGAGGUUCAAAGAGCUUGGGAAAUGUGCAUGAGGUCACUUAUCUAUACUGUGGCAGAAUCAGGAUUCUAAUUCAGGAAUGUCUCACUUCAAAUACCAUAAAAUUCCACUCAUCAGCUGCCUCUACUAAAAGUACACUUAUCAGAUACCUACUAUUUGAAAUACAUUUCUUUGACUUAACUUAAUGCUGCACAAUGCAUGCAUUUCCAGCAACUCCCUCUCAGUUUUAACCUCUUCUUGCAUCCGGAUCUCUUUGACUUGUAGUGCUUUAUUAUUAUGAUGAUCACUGCUUUUUAUCAUUGUUUAUUAUUUAGUGGGGAAACUUGAAAAAGUAUGAAACUGUUGAUGCAGAGUCAGAAUGGGUCUCAAAUUUUUUACUUAUACAAAUCUAAAAUCCAAUAUUUUCCUGGGUCAAAUGCAAACUAAGUCUUCAAGAAAACAAAGACUAGUUCUCUGGCUGACUGCUACAUUCAAUAAUUUUGUCUCAAAUAAUACAAACUGACAUAUGGGAACCUCAAAACUAAAAUCCUAGUGAGGGAAACAGAAGUGGACUUCAACCAAUAUAAUUUUUUAUUCCAGUUCUCAAUGGUGGUAGAAUUAGUUUGGUAAAGGAUAUGACACACUGACACUCAGAAAAGCCAUAUCCAGUUGUCAUAAGAGAACAUGCUAUUAAAAAUAUAAGGAUGAGGAGAGGCUAAAUAUUUCGCUAUUGGCCAAAAAGCAAUGAGAAUGGGUUCUAUGAUAAGGGACCUAAGAAUUCAACAAACAAACUUAAAGAGAAGUUAUGUUAUAAUCUAUAUUUAAACAAUUAAAAGGUAAUUUCUUGUUUAUUAUGUGCUAAAUACAACCACCUUUAUGAAAACAGAAAUGCCUGUUCUUCAUUUUCUUAUUUGUAAGUCAAUUGGCAUUUAUCUUUAAGAAAUGUACACACUACAAUGGCCUAAAAAAUAGAACUGUGUUGUGUAAGCCAAGGAAUGCCUAGGAUUGUUGGCAACUAUCAGAAUCUAGAAAAGAAGCAUGGAACAAAUUCUCCCUUGGUGCCUCCAGAAGGAACCAGCCCUGUCAACACAUUGAUUUUGGACUUGUAAGCUCCAGAACUGUGAGAUAAUACAUUUCUGUUGUUCAAAGUUGUUUUUUUUAAUGUUAUUUAGCAAGAAUUUUGUAUUUGGAAGCAAAGUAGGAAUUACAUUAAAUUGUGUUAUUUUGGUGUACAAAGGAAUCCCCUGACACAAAAGUAAAUAUACAAGUCAAUAGAGUCCAUUGUUAUGCAAUUUAAGGAUAUUUCUUUGUUAGCACAAUGCAUAAACUAAAUGGUACUGUUCAAUACAGUAGCCAUCAGCCACAUGUGGUUACUUAAAUUAGUUAAAAUAAGAUUAAAAAUUCAUUUCCUGAAUCCUAUUGGCCACAUGUGAAGUGCUCAAGUCACAUGUGACUAAUGCCUACCCUAUUGGACAGUACAGACACAGAAUAUUUCCAUGAAUGGAGGAAGAUCUAUUUGAAAGUGCUGGUUGAGAAGGAUAAAAUAUAGAGAAUCACUGCUUCUUUUAAAAAAAAUUCCUAACUUCUCAUCCAACACUGUAACUUCAUCACACAAGUGACAACUAUACUCCAGUCUCAUAAAUAUCACUUUGAAUUUACAACCUAGAAAACCCGAACUAGUGCUUUAUUGUGCACAGUGGCAGAUCAGCAUCGAAUUUGGAGAUGCUAUUAUCCUGACCUUUCUGUUGGCAAGAAUUACAUUGUGCAGUUUCAUUUGUCUGGACUGGAACACAAUUGGGGUGAGAAAAUGGAAAACAUGAUGUUCCUUCUUCAACAAUGACCCCAACUUAUCCAGUGUUCCUUUCAAGAUUGUUCCUAUGUGAUUGUGAAGCAUAUUUCCUUCCAACAAUAAUCCUGUACUUUACCAAUAACUAUAAUAAGUCCUCAAGAUAAUAAAAGAAUUAAUCCUGGAUAUAUGAAGUCUGUGAAUUGCCCCUGAUCCCAUGUUCUCUCAUUGAGAUAGAAAUACUGAAUUAUAUAAAUUAAAAAUGGCAGUGAUCAAAACAGUCCGCCCAGAAGGCAGAUAAUCAAUAUUCCACAGUGUGCCUACAGCCCUCAAAAGAGGUUUAGAGUCUUUUAAAAUUAUGUAAACAUUUCAAGCUUCUCAAAAUUAUUCUUAAUUAAUUAUACUUCUACUUAAUUAUCAUGAUUCUAUCCUACUUCUUUCUUGCCUGAAUUGAAGUCUCCUUGAAAAUUAUUCUAAUAUUUUUUCUCAAGACCAUUGCUUUUAGCAUGAUUUUAAAACUUUUAAAAGGCUUUAAAAAAUAAGUACUCAGGGACUGUGGCUGUGACUCAGCAGAAGAGCGCUUGCCUUGCAUGUGUGAGGUUCGAUGUGAGGGUUCGAUUCUCAGCACCACAUAAAAAUAAAUAAAAUAAACUUAUAAAAAUAAGGAUUCAGUAUAUCUUUAGUAUUUUAUAAGAAUUAUGAUGACACAGAAUAAAAAUAAAGUUGAGUUCUGCUAUAAAGCCUACAUUCAGUAUUAUGCCAGAUGGCCCCCACUAAGAGAAAGCAAUGGCUAAUGUGAGUCCAGAGAGGUAUCAUUAUAUACAUCCUUGAAAACAGCUUUAAGACCUAUUUGCUGAGAUAAUAUGUAAACUGCUUCUAUCCUCAGACUAAUCUUAACUUUUCUACUUAUAAUAAAUAUGUGAUAUUUUGACCCUUAAAGUAUAAAUGUUAAUAAAAACAGUGUAUUACUAUGGCAAAUAUGUUAGGAACUCUGAUCUAAGCAAAAAUAAAUUUUUUUUUUUUAAUUU
This 6826-nucleotide long non-coding RNA is filed under the name Marmota monax (woodchuck). The stretch from base 2529 to 2590 matches the Rfam family "Gag/pol translational readthrough site". Lineage: Eukaryota; Metazoa; Chordata; Mammalia; Rodentia; Sciuridae. The record is from RNAcentral.